GGCAACAUGGCCGAGUGGUCUAAGGCGCCAGACUCAAGCUUCCAGCUUCUGAAUUCAAAGUUCAGCGCAUUCUGGUAUCGCAAGAUGCGUGGGUUCGAAUCCCACUGUUGUCA
Non-coding RNA from Diplogelasinospora grovesii, 113 nucleotides. NCBI's taxonomy places the organism in Eukaryota, Fungi, Ascomycota, Sordariomycetes, Sordariales, Diplogelasinosporaceae. The record is from the annotation of a GenBank genome assembly.